UCUGGUUGAUCCUGGCAGAGGUUACUGCUAUCGAGGUUCGACUAAGCCAUGCGAGUCGAAUGUAGCAAUACAUGGCGAACUGCUCAGUAACACGUGGACAACCUGCCCUUAGGACGGGGAUAAACCCGGGAAACUGGGUAUAAUACCCGAUAGGUCUCGAUUGCUGGAAUGCAUCGAGAUUUAAAGCUCCGGCGCCUAAGGAUGGGUCUGCGGCCUAUCAGGUAGUAGUGGGUGUAGCGUACCUACUAGCCUACGACGGGUACGGGUUGUGAGAGCAAGAGCCCGGAGAUGGAUUCUGAGACACGAAUCCAGGCCCUACGGGGUGCAGCAGGCGCGAAAACUUUACAAUGCUGGCAACAGCGAUAAGGGAACCUCGAGUGCCAGGUUACAAAUCUGGCUGUCGAGAUGCCUAAAAAGCAUUUCAUAGCAAGGGCCGGGCAAGACCGGUGCCAGCCGCCGCGGUAACACCGGCGGCUCGAGUGGUAACCGUUAUUAUUGGG
Molecule: ribosomal RNA, 500 nt
Filed under: uncultured methanogenic archaeon
Lineage: Archaea; Methanobacteriati; Methanobacteriota
Description: bacterial SSU rRNA
Rfam family: Archaeal small subunit ribosomal RNA
Source: RNAcentral